Molecule: non-coding RNA, 234 nt
Filed under: Pan troglodytes (chimpanzee)
Lineage: Eukaryota; Metazoa; Chordata; Mammalia; Primates; Hominidae
Source: RNAcentral
AGCACCCGGGCGCGUCCGGGGCUGUGGGAGCCGAAAGUUAGGGUCUUGCUCUGUCGCUCAGGCUGGAGUGCAGUGGCAUGAUCAUGGGUCACUGCAGCCUUGAACUCCUGGGCUUAAGGGAUCUUCUCAUCUCAGUCUCCUAAAUAGCUGGGACUACAGGCUCAGGCCACCAUGCCUGGGAUGCCUUCUGCCAUGAUUGUAAGUUUCCUGAGGCCUCCCCAGCCACGCAGAACU